UGCGGGAUGGUGUAACGGUAGCACGACUGACUCUGGAUCAGUUAGUCCAGGUUCGAAUCCUGGCCCCGCAGCCA
RNAcentral lists this transfer RNA (74 nucleotides) under Chloroflexota bacterium. Its description in RNAcentral is "Chloroflexi bacterium tRNA-Gln". It matches the Rfam family "tRNA". From Rfam's summary of the family: Transfer RNA (tRNA) molecules are approximately 80 nucleotides in length. Their secondary structure includes four short double-helical elements and three loops (D, anti-codon, and T loops). The record is from RNAcentral. Lineage: Bacteria; Bacillati; Chloroflexota.